AGUCCGUGAGGGAAAGUUGCAAAGCACUUUGAAGAGAGAGUUAAAGAGGACGUGAAACCGGUAAGGUGGAAACGGAUAGAGUCGGCGUAUCAUUCAUGUAUUCAGUUACAUUAUUUUUAUGUUGUGACCUCUGAGCUCCAGAUUGGGACAGAGGGAAUCAGCAUAAUUUUUUGUGGUGCUUUUACUUGAUUGGUGCUUGGGGAUGUUUGAGGCAGAUUUGUUUCCGUCGUUUUGAGGCCAGCUUGCUGGUACCCAAACGGUGUUAGCAUUUUUUGUCUUGGGCAUUUGAGUAUGGCUCACGUGUAUUUAUUGGACAGAUCUGAGUGUAAGUUACGGUCGCAUGCGACACGUGCUUUUCAAUUAGUUCGGUCCAGUUAAUGCUCUCGUACUCGUUUCCCAUGUAAAAGCCGGUCAUCUAUCCGACCCGUCUUGAAACACGGACCAAGGAGUUUAUCGUGUGCGCAAGUUUUUGGGUGUUAAAAACUUAAAAGCGAAAUGAAAGUAAAUGACUCUUUAGAGUCUGAUGUGCGAUCUUGUAAAAAAGUGUAGCAUGGCCCCAUUCUAACUGUUUACAGUAGGGUGGCGGAAGAGCGUACGCGGUGAGACCCGAAAGAUGGUGAACUAUUCCUGAGCAGGACGAAGCCAGAGGAAACUCUGGUGGAAGUCCGAAGCGGUUCUGACGUGCAAAUCGAUCGUCUGACUUGGGUAUAGGGGCGAAAGACUAAUCGAACCAUCUAGUAGCUGGUUCCUUCGGAGGA
Molecule: ribosomal RNA, 758 nt
Filed under: Meloidogyne paranaensis
Lineage: Eukaryota; Metazoa; Nematoda; Chromadorea; Rhabditida; Meloidogynidae
Description: eukaryotic LSU rRNA
Rfam family: Eukaryotic large subunit ribosomal RNA
Source: RNAcentral